Molecule: ribosomal RNA, 748 nt
Filed under: uncultured delta proteobacterium
Lineage: Bacteria; Deltaproteobacteria
Description: bacterial SSU rRNA
Rfam family: Bacterial small subunit ribosomal RNA
Source: RNAcentral
AGAGUUUGAUCCUGGCUCAGAAUGAACGCUGGCGGCGUGCUUAACACAUGCAAGUCGCACGAGAACGCUUCAGCUUGCUGAAGUUAGUAAAGUGGCGCACGGGUGAGUAACGCGUGGGUAAUCUACCCCCGAAUUGGGGAUAACAUUGCGAAAGCGAUGCUAAUACCGAAUGAUAUCUUAAGUACCUCGGUACUUAAGAUCAAAGGUGGCCUCUACAUGUAAGCUAUUGUUUGGGGAUGAGCCCGCGUACCAUUAGCUUGUUGGUAGGGUAACGGCCUACCAAGGCUGCGAUGGUUAGCUGGUCUGAGAGGAUGAUCAGCCACACUGGAACUGACACACGGUCCAGACUCCUACGGGAGGCAGCAGUGAGGAAUUUUGCGCAAUGGGGGAAACCCUGACGCAGCAACGCCGCGUGAGUGAUGAAGGCUUUCGGGUCGUAAAGCUCUGUCAAGUGGGAAGAAACCACUUGGUGCUAAUAUCACCAAGUGCUGACGGUACCACUGAAGGAAGCACCGGCUAACUCCGUGCCAGCAGCCGCGGUAAUACGGGGGGUGCAAGCGUUAUUCGGAAUUACUGGGCGUAAAGAGCGCGUAGGCGGUCUCUUAAGUCAGGUGUGAAAGCCCGGGGCUCAACCCCGGAAGUGCACUUGAAACUAAGGAACUUGAGUAUGGGAGAGGGAAGUGGAAUUCCUGGUGUAGCGGUGAGAUGCGUAGAUAUCAGGAGGAACACCGGUGGCGAAGGCGACUUC